Molecule: long non-coding RNA, 603 nt
Organism: Cyprinus carpio carpio
Lineage: Eukaryota; Metazoa; Chordata; Actinopteri; Cypriniformes; Cyprinidae
Source: Ensembl
CCGGCCUCUGUUCGAGGCAUUUCUUGGGGUAGGUCUUGAAGGAGAGACUGUAGGGUGCCCUGUGACAGGUCUUUUGGCUGGACUUGUGGUAGAGCUUGAGGUGGAGACUUUGGUGGGUCUUGUGGUUGGACUUGUGGUAGAGCUUGAGGUGGAGCCUGUGGUGGAGUCUGUGGUGGGGGUUGAAGUGGAGCUUGUCAUAGAGCUUGAGGUGGAGCCUGUGGUGAAGUCUGUGGUGGGGGUUGAAGUGGAGCUUGUGGUGGAGCUUGAGGUGGAGCCUGUGGUGGGUGUUGAAGUGGAGCUUGUGGUGGAGCUUGAGGUGGAGCCUGUGGUAGGGGUUGAAGUGGAGCUUGUGGUGGAGCCUGAGGUUGGUCUUGUGGUGGAGCCUGUGGUUGGUCUUGUGGUGGAGCCUGUGGUUGAGCCUGUGGUUGGUCUUGUGGUGGAGCCUGUGGUUGGUCUUGUGGUGGAGCCUGUGGUGGAGCCUGUGGUUGGUCUUGUGGUGGAGCCUGUGGUGGGUUUUGAAGUGGAAAAUGUGGUGGGUCUUAUUGUGGGACUUGAUGUAGACUUUGAGGUGGUACUUGAGGUGGAGCUGGUGGCCCUUGAAGU